RNAcentral lists this non-coding RNA (226 nucleotides) under Photobacterium gaetbulicola Gung47. The record is from RNAcentral. Lineage: Bacteria; Pseudomonadati; Pseudomonadota; Gammaproteobacteria; Vibrionales; Vibrionaceae. RNAcentral also lists the same sequence under 1 other name.
UUAGCAUGCAAUUGCGCUGGUUAGCUUGCUUGCAGGCUGGGGAACACGGUGAAAUUCCGUGACUGACGCGCAGCGGUGAUAGAGAACGAAAGCACAUGGACGUUCAGUUCCAAACACUGCUUCUAUAACCUGUGCAAUGCAGGUGUCUGAAGUGGGAAGUUGUUGCCUAGGUGGCCGUUCGGCCAAGCUCUUAAGUCCGAAGACCGACCAGUGUACCGAGCCGAGC